GUACUUUUACAGAUUAUUUUUAGAAUAUGUUUAGUGCUGAACUUUUCUCUGCCACUCCCUGGACUACAACUCCAUCUUAGUUUAACAAAGAAAUCUAACAGAGGGGGAGAGCUUUCAGUGCUUCCAAAUCAAUUCAUGCCCGAUCUGUAUGCGAGGAAUAUGUUGUAUCUUGAACCAUUCGGGCCCACUCUCCCUCCUGCAUCUUUCUUCUAGAAUAGUACAUUGAAAUAUUUUCAGGUAUUGUAGGCUAUGUGACUCAUGAAACGUAGGCAAACUCUUCAAAUUAUUACAAUUCCAAAUACGUAACCGCUCAAGAGAUGGAAGGUUUGCCAGUGAUUCUGGAAGAGCUUCACUCCUUCGAAAUCAUUUAUGUACAACAGAGUCAAUGCAGGGAACAUAGAGGAGAGACGAUCAUCGAGCUCCCCAUUCAGAAGUAUUGACCUUACCUUCUUCCAACCGUACAGGGUCAGUGAGGUCAGUUUAGGAAACAAAAUUACAGAUGAGAAGGAGGGCCAGGGAAAUUCGUUUAGUUCAUCCGAGAAGGGACCUAAUAUCAUCUUUUCAAGUCUUGACCUUGUACUAGGGACAGAUACUAAUUCUGAAAGAGAGGGGCAUCUCACAAUAAUAAGAUAUUUUAGGGCACCUUCAACUACAUUAAUGCUAGUUAGAUUAAGGCAAUCACUCACUUCUAGUUCCUCAAGAACUAUACCAAUGGUCAGAAAUUUCAAGCCCGGGCAGUUAUCUAGGUUCAAAGUUUUCGAAGACAAAGAAUUGGUUUCCAAGAGCUCGUCAAUUAGAUAGUACACAUUUGAUGGAGAGCCUCCAUUUCUGUCCCUGAUACUCCUCAGCCGUAGAUUCACUAGAGAGCUAAUCUUCCUGCUCAUUGUUUCUAGGAUCUUGCUACUGUCCAGAUUUGUGAUAACCAACUCCCUAAGUUUAGAAAAUAAAAACAGGGUAUUUGGAAUCAUUCUCAACUUUGAACAACGCUCAAUUUUCAGUACCUCAAGUUUUGGAAAUACUGGCACCAUAUUUUGGUCUUCAUUGCCAGUGGAGAUAUUUGGUCUUCAUCGCCAGUGGAAACGAGUGUUGUUAAUGAUGGAUACAUCGUUGCAACUGUUUUUACAGACCCCCUGUAACUCAAACCACUACUAGUGCUAGCUAGACCUCCACAGAAAUCUCUCCCGAUAACUUUGAGAUUGUGCAUUCCAAAUAUUACAAUCUCCCUCAGUUUAGGAAGGUGACUCAAUGGUGGCAAUGCAUCACAAUUGUUACAAUCUUUCAAUGUGAUUUUCACCAAGUUCAUCAUCAUUGUAAUCCAUGAUGCAAAUUUCCGUCCCUUAAAGGAGACAACUGACAGUUCUUUCAAAUAUGUGUGAGGUCUUAAUCCUUCAAUCACAUCCUCGUUGUUGUAUUCUUUACCUUUCCUUUCAUCUUCGUUGUUGCUCCAGUCUAAGGGUAAACACUGAAUGUUAGAUUUUUCACAAAGCUUUGCUUUACUUGUUUCUUCCAUAUUUGACACAUCACUAAGACCAUAGAGAUCAAGUGUACCACCAAGAUUUUUAAGCCCUUCCGAUUGGCUAAGGAGACAAUUUCGUUUUCUACUGACAACAAAAUGAGGAAGUGUUUGAAGACAAGUCAAUCUUUGUAUCCCAAUAAACAUGUAUCUUGUGGAUAACUCUUCUGCAUAUUUCUUCUGAACAACAAGAUGCCUCAAGUUAAUAAGGUUGCAGACCUUCUCUGGAAGCUCAUUUAGAGCCCAAAUUCUCAAAGUUUGCAAGUUAUAGAGUUUCGUGAUGUAAUUUGGCAAUUUAUAGCUCUUGAAUCCGACAGAACUUGAGAUAUCAAGAUGUUUAAGGAAUUUCAUAUUCCCCAUUGAACUUGGCAACUCUUUAUAAUGUGAGUUCAAAACCAACACUCUCAGUUGCUUUAGGCUGGGUAACACGACACCGAGUACACAAGCCUGUGCAUACAGUGCUUGUAUAGAAUUGAAGUACACCGUAGAAAUCUUGUCAAAGGAUUUAUGAAUAGUCUUGAUCUUAUUAGCCACCUUAAAACGAUUUAAUAUGUUGUUUUUAGAAGGAACAAAGAAGUCCCUUACCCUGUGAUGAUUUUCCACCUUUUGUCGAAUAAUUUCAUAAGCAAGUUGAUCCAUAAAAACAUCAGCCACAUGUGCCACAGCUUUGAGUUUGCUGAACCAGGUUUGGACAGAAGACAUAUCUAGUUUCUUGGUAUAAGUAUCGGACAGGAGAGCAUCGAUAGAUUCCAGCCUUUCGCGCAGUGUCAACAGAUCUUCAGAAAGAUUCCAGGCCUGAAUAACUUUUUCAGUAGCAAGUGAAAUAAGCUUGCGAACCAGUCCGCUGGCUAGAUCAGCUACAAAUGCAUCAGCCAUCCUUCUAUCAAUUUCAGUUACCUGAUUAUAUCAUGAAUAUUUACAUGUAAAAAGAUUAGUAUUUGGGUAGUAAUGGUGUCUUCUUCAACUUUGGGCUAUCAAAAGUCAGAUGUAAUAUUAUUAUUGAAUUCUUUAUGCCCUCUUUGUCACAACUUUGAGCUACCAAGUGGUGAGUUGAAUAGAAAUUUAUCAAGUGGGGAAAGCUGAGGGCAAAGAAAGCCAAUCCAGCUAAAAGUCAAUAGCCUCCUAGAAGAUGGCAUCUUUACUCUUUACAUGCCAGGUGAGAAUCUUGAUCGACUAAAUCUAUAUUUAUAUUCAUUUAUUUUAUCGAAUUUAGAUUAGAUUAAUACUGGAUUUUUUACGGGCCGAUCCGAAUCCGUUGGAGACGGAGAUCUCGAACUCCACUCUGUAUGAUUUAUUUUAUUUUAAAGAAAAUUGAGUAGUUAUAAAAUUAUAAAAGACCAUUUAUCGUUUACAAUUGAACAAAACUUAAACCAAAAAUAUUUAAAAAGAAAAAUAAUAAAUGUAAAUUGAUGGUCAAUAUAGAUUCGAGAAUAUAAAUGAAAAAAAGCAUGAAAAUUGAGAAUGUAAAAUCUCUGAUGAGACUAUUUUGGAGCAAGUCUAUUGUCCUAAUAUAAAAAAAUGCUUGAUACCCAGACGACAGAAAACUUAGUUUCUCUUAUUUUUAUCUGUCGAAAAAGUACUUACUACAUUAUUACAUCUUUGAAGAAAGCAUUUGUAUCAGAAGUAUCCUUGACAUUUUCCAACUCUAUUGUAGCAUCAUCUUGUUCUUUGUUGUAAACAAAAAGGUUUGCAGCCAGAAGAAAAAACAAGAGGUUAAUAAAGCUCAAAACAGCAUAAAAUGUGUAGAAAUAGUCCAAGCGAGACACAUUCAAGUUGUCCAAAAAAUCCAGCCCUUGUGACCAUCCCUCUUAGUGAAAUCAGACACAGUUGUUAGAAUAAAACUGCUUAGAAAAUUCCCCAUACUCAAGCUAGUUGUAUAAUAGGCUGUGCCGAAGCUUUUCAUACUUUUCGGAGCUUGAUCAUAGAAGAAUUCAAGUCUCCCCACCUCCCAAAAUGUAUCAGCCACCCCCAUCAGGGCAUAUUGAGGAAGUAAUAUGAAUAUGCUGAGCGGAACAAUUUGAUUUUUCUUUGUAAUGCCAUGAUCUUCAAUCACAUUUAAUCGCUUCCGUUCACAAACUGAAGCAAUGAUCAUGAUGAUGACAUGCAUUACUAGGCCUAUUCCCAUUCUUUGCAGCAUUGGGAUCCCUCUUGGAUUUUUGGUGUAGCUUCGAAGCGUGGGAACCAGGAAUUUAUCAUAGAUCACAACAGUGAUCAGCAUAAAGAUUGUUAUGAAUGCUACAAGAGAUGCCGGGGGAAUACUGAAAUGAGGACCUAUGCUUCUAACAAGAGUGGUACCUUGCUUGAUGAAGAGUGUGUGUCCUUGAGCUAUCAGGGUGCUAGGUAAGAAUGAUACUAAUAAGAUUGGCACCAUUUUUACCAUUUGUUUUGUUUCUUCAACUUCAGUCACUGUGCACAGCAUCCAGUGAGGGCUCCGUCCAUCCACAACAGCUGCUUUAUCUAGUAUUCUGUGUAAAAGCAAAUGAUAGCUAAAACUUAAAAGUCGUACUUAGUGCACAAGACUCCGGUGUCAAAAGUAAAAAAGGAAACAGAGGACUAUAAACCUCUUCUUUGAUGAAUAAGAAAUACGACCUUAGUAAAGGAGAGUGUUCAAUUCUAUACUUUCCAGGUUUGGAAUAUUCAUCCAAAUUCAACUCAUGUAGUUCUUUUGGAUCAUCCGGGACAACCAACUUCCAUUUUCUAAUAGUGGCUAUAAGAACUCUAGCCAUCUUGGUCAAUGGGCUUCCAGAUGCAGGUUGGUGCCUAUAAUAAGGUGAGCCUGCUAGAAACACCAAUAUUGAUAAAAAGAGUCCGAUUGUUGGAAGACCAUAUCCAAGUCCCCAGCCUGCAUGAUCUUGUAUAUAGACUAGGAAAGUGCUGGCAAAAAGUGUGCCGAAGAAGAUACUAAAGACCCACCAAUUAAAGAAUGAUAUCUUCUGGGUUUUUUCGGUUGGCUCAAAUUCAUCAAAUUGAUCUGCACCCAUCGUUGAGAUGUUGGGCUUUGUCCCUCCAGUUCCGAGUGCAAUUAUGUACAAUGCACAGUAGAAAAUACCCACUUGAAAAGGUGAAGCUUGCUUGUUACAGUCCACGUCUGUUAUACUGUCACCGCAUGAUGGUGGCCGGAGAGAUUUUAAUGAAACUACUAGUGUCAGCAAGGACAUGCCCUGUUACACAACAAAUAUUUGAGCCCAGGCAAAGCAAUCAAAACGUAUACGUGAAACUUGCAAGCAAUUUUAUGUUUUCAUACCCCAAGAUAGAUGAAGGCUGAAAUGAUGAAAGUCCAGUAACGGCCAAGAUGAGCAUCCGCGAUGUAGGCACCUAGAAUGGGUGUCAGCCAGACAGUGCCAACCCAGUUGGUGACAUUGUUUGAAGACUUCACGGUGCCUUCAUGUAAUUUUCUUGUGAGAUAUAGCACUAGAUUUGUUGAUAUUCCAUAAAAUGCCAUCCUCUCAAAUGCUUCAUACCCUUCAAAAUCAUUCAUUAUACGAAAUAAAUUAGAAUAUCAAGCUGAAACUAUGUUCUUCACCUUAAUACAAAAUAGUACAUGAGUUGAAUGUGGUAAAUGUUCUAUUGGAUGAUAUCAGAAUUAUCAAAAGAAGCAAUAGAAUCUUGUUGACAUACCGACAAUGAAGGAGGUUGCUCUCCAUCUCCCUGUGUUUGAUCUUAACACAGGAUUACCCUUGAGGUCAACUGUUCCAUCUUUGGUGUACUCAUCAUCCCCUCUCGUCUUGCCAUUCUCUUCGACUACUCUUUCCAUUGUCAUUGUCAUCUCCCUGUGUUUGAUCUGAACACAGUUGAACGUGCAGCUCGAGUUUAUACUAGACAACCUCUGUCUACCUGCAUAUACAGUUAGCUACAAAUGAAAUGGUGGAUAAUAAUUGAAUCAUUAACAGUCUAACACUGAAGUCAGUUUUUAUAUCUGAAAUUCAACCCUUUUCUUAUCUAAAAUAUUCAUGCUGGUAAAAGAACAAAUACAAGUGUCCAGUAUCUGGGAGAGCUUUCAGUGCUUCCAAAUCAAUUCAUGCCCGAUCUGCAUGCGAGGAAUAUGUUGUAUCUUAAACCAUUCUGGCCCACUCUCCCUCCUGCAUCUUUCUUCUAGAAUAGUACAUUGAAAUAUUUUCAGGUACUGAAGGCUAUGUGACUCGUGAAACGUAGGCAAACUCUUCAAAUUAUUACAAUUCCAAAUACGUAACCGCUCAAGAGAUGGAAGCUUUGCCAGUGAUUCUGGAAGAGAUUUCACUCCUUCGAAAUCAUUUAUGUACAACAGAGUCAAUGCAGGGAACGUAGAGUAGAGACGAUCAUCAAGCUCCCCAUCCAGAAGUAUUGACCUAACCUUCUUCCGACCGAACAGGGUCAGUGAGGUCAGUUUAGGAAACCAAAUUACAGAAGAGAAGGAGGGCCAUGGAAAUUCGUUUAGUUCAUCCGAGAAGGGACCUAAUAUCAUCUUUUCAAGUCUUGACCUUGUACCAGGGACAAAUACUAAUUCUGAAAGAGAGGGGCAUCUCACAAUAAUAAGAUA
This 6029-nucleotide long non-coding RNA is filed under the name Daucus carota (carrot). RNAcentral describes it as "long non-coding RNA (DCAR_LNC005122)". The record is from RNAcentral. Lineage: Eukaryota; Viridiplantae; Streptophyta; Magnoliopsida; Apiales; Apiaceae.